Molecule: ribosomal RNA, 465 nt
Filed under: uncultured Klebsiella sp.
Lineage: Bacteria; Pseudomonadati; Pseudomonadota; Gammaproteobacteria; Enterobacterales; Enterobacteriaceae
Description: bacterial SSU rRNA
Rfam family: Bacterial small subunit ribosomal RNA
Source: RNAcentral
CCUACGGGAGGCUGCAGUGGGGAAUAUUGCACAAUGGGCGCAAGCCUGAUGCAGCCAUGCCGCGUGUGUGAAGAAGGCCUUCGGGUUGUAAAGCACUUUCAGCGGGGCGGAAGGCGGUGAGGUUAAUAACCUCAUCGAUUGACGUUACCCGCAGAAGAAGCACCGGCUAACUCCGUGCCAGCAGUCGCGGUAAUACGGAGGGUGCAAGCGUUAAUCGGAAUUACUGGGCGUAAAGCGCACGCAGGCGGUCUGUCAAGUCGGAUGUGAAAUCCCCGGGCUCAACCUGGGAACUGCAUUCGAAACUGGCAGGCUAGAGUCUUGUAGAGGGGGGUAGAAUUCCAGGUGUAGCGGUGAAAUGCGUAGAGAUCUGGAGGAAUACCGGUGGCGAAGGCGGCCCCCUGGACAAAGACUGACGCUCAGGUGCGAAAGCGUGGGGAGCAAACAGGAUUAGAUACCCCUGUAGUC